Molecule: ribosomal RNA, 445 nt
Filed under: uncultured bacterium
Lineage: Bacteria
Description: partial 16S ribosomal RNA
Rfam family: Bacterial small subunit ribosomal RNA
Source: RNAcentral
GUGAGGAAUAUUGGUCAAUGGGCGGGAGCCUGAACCAGCCAAGUCGCGUGAAGGAAGAAGGAUCUAUGGUUCGUAAACUUCUUUUGCAGGGGAAUAAAGUGCAGGACGUGUCCUGUUUUGUAUGUACCCUGAGAAUAAGGAUCGGCUAACUCCGUGCCAGCAGCCGCGGUAAUACGGAGGAUCCGAGCGUUAUCCGGAUUUAUUGGGUUUAAAGGGUGCGUAGGUGGUUUGAUAAGUCAGCGGUGAAAGUUUGCAGCUUAACUGUAAAAAUGCCGUUGAAACUGUCGGACUUGAGUGUAAAUGAGGUAGGCGGAAUGCGUGGUGUAGCGGUGAAAUGCAUAGAUAUCACGCAGAACUCCGAUUGCGAAGGCAGCUUACUAAGCUACAACUGACACUGAAGCACGAAAUCGUGGGGAUCAAACAGGAUUAGAUACCCUAGUAGUCC